RNAcentral lists this ribosomal RNA (206 nucleotides) under uncultured bacterium. RNAcentral's name for it is "partial 16S ribosomal RNA". It matches the Rfam family "Bacterial small subunit ribosomal RNA", at positions 301 to 526 of the family's 1533-position model. The record is from RNAcentral.
CGCCUCCCUCCGCCGCCACUCAGACUCCGUACGGGACGGCGAGCGAGGUGGGUAAGUUUGCGCAAGUACGGGGAAACCCGUACGGACGCAGCAACGCCGCGUGGAGGAGUGAAGCCCGUUGGGUGUAACUCCUUUCGAUCGGGAAGAUGAUGACGGUACCGAUAUAAGAAGCCCGGCUAACUUCGUGCCAGCAGCCGCGGUAAUUC